CGUGAGCACUCCUCAGCUCAUCUGCCAGCACCAGCUCGUCCUGCAGGGAGAGCAUGGGGCAGCAAAUGGGUGAAUGCAGGUCCCUCUCCUGGGGAGCUGUAAGGUUGACUCCAAUAGGGAAGAUGAAAGGCAAAAACGUUAAGGAGGAACCAAGAUACUAAAAAGCAGGCAACAGCAUCACAGUGUGACAAUGGAUUGUUUCUGCACACCCUGUUCCCACAAAGCACCUGGCACAUAGGAUACAACCAAACAGACACAGCUUGGUCUCCUCCACUGCUGGCCUGAGGUUCUGAUGGCUGUGGGAGAGGACCAGCUCCAUCUUUCACUCUGAGCUGGUGCUAGUAGGGAGCUACGAACCAUCAGGCAGCAGCUGCCAUGGAUGCCCCCUUUCUGGAAAUCCUGCUGAAAGAUAAAGAAAAGCUCUACCUCAGCACAAGGUUUUUCAAAGGUGAACGCAGUGAUGCAGGAAGGGGAACCUCCUCAAAGCUGCUGAAUUCAUCUCAAGUUUGCAAAGUCAACUUUGAUGUUAGAGUCAAGCUUUGAAAGGGCCAUCUCUCUUCUGGUCCCUGGAGAGAAGAACGUUUCAUUGUUUAGGCCACAGGCAAUGGCACCAAUACAGUUAGUGUGUACAACGACAAAUGCUCUGUAUCUUAGCAUGUUCAUACUUCAAGAGUCACCAACAGGGAUUUAAACACAUCUGAGUGCUCAGCAGGCACUGGGAAGGACAGAAGAUUGUUUAAACAAACGUUUGCAGUCUUGCUGUAACAAGAAUCAUUGACAAUUAAAAAAGUCAGCUUGCAAGGAGCCUUGUACUAGGUAUUGUAUGCAAGUCCCCUUUGUACUUGAGGGUCCUAGCCCCCCAAAUAUUGUUUUAUGUAAAAUGAGUGAAUGCUCCUAACCAGCGCAUAUGCUGCUCUGUGUGCCACUGU
Oxyura jamaicensis (ruddy duck) is the source of this 929-nucleotide long non-coding RNA. RefSeq lists it as uncharacterized. The transcript has 3 exons. The record is from RefSeq and is a predicted model, not a curated record. NCBI's taxonomy places the organism in Eukaryota, Metazoa, Chordata, Aves, Anseriformes, Anatidae.